GUCUUGUAAUAUGAUUUACAUUCUGUUUUUUUUUUUAAAAUACUUUUUGGCGUUUUUUUUUAUCUUUAAAAUGUUUUGAAACUUUAAAACUUAGUUUGAUACUCAUAGGUUAAACAAACGCAGGACAAAUCUGAGGCCAACCUCAUUACUCUUAGGACGAGCGUGCUUACAACAUAUUACCACAUUGGCUGUCUUUGCUUCAUGAUAACCUUCCAUGUCUUAUUUUUUUUUUUUUUUUU
Molecule: long non-coding RNA, 239 nt
Filed under: Mytilus galloprovincialis (Mediterranean mussel)
Lineage: Eukaryota; Metazoa; Mollusca; Bivalvia; Mytilida; Mytilidae
Source: RNAcentral